GUUUAGUUCGUGCAGUAGGAGUGAGCAACUAUGGACCAAAGCAGCUGCUGAAAAUAUACAAAUAUCUUGAUGACCGAGGAGUACCUUUGCGCUCCGCCCAGGUACAAUUUUCAUUGCUAAGUAUGGGAAGUGAUCAGAUGGAGAUAAAAAAUAUAUGUGAUUCACUAGGCAUACGGGUCAUAGCAUACAGUCCUCUGGGUCUUGGUAUGCUCACUGGUAAAUAUACGCCCUCUAAUCUUCCACCUGGGCCAAGGGGAUUACUCUUUAGACAAAUUUUGCCUGGAUUGGAGCCUCUACUUACCUCACUGAGAGAAAUAGCUCAAAGACGUCGGAAAACAGUACCACAGGUAGCUAUCAACUGGUGUAUAUGCAAGGGUACAAUUCCUAUCCCUGGAAUCAAGUCUGUAAAACAAACUGAAGAGAACCUAGGAGCCCUUGGUUGGCAACUCAGUUCUGAUGAAUUGCUCCAAUUAGAAUUCGCAGCUCUUGAUUCUCCACAGAAGAUGAUCCAAAACGUAUUUCAGACAAAGUGACAACUUCUCCAAAUAAUCAAUAUGUUUAGGAAGAGAUACUUACAUAUAGAAGGCAAUAUUCGAGCUAAAGGAUAUCAAUGAACACAUUUGGAUCAUUAGCUCUUCCAAAAUGCAUAUUCUCAAAUAUCUGCAAGGUAGCU
Molecule: unclassified non-coding RNA, 673 nt
Filed under: Hevea brasiliensis (rubber tree)
Lineage: Eukaryota; Viridiplantae; Streptophyta; Magnoliopsida; Malpighiales; Euphorbiaceae
Source: RNAcentral